UCUGCGGACCGGGCCCCUCUGAUUAAGGCAAACGCCUCUAUGAUGUCGGACCGCAUCG
Molecule: regulatory RNA element, 58 nt
Organism: Rhizobium sp. Leaf371
Lineage: Bacteria; Pseudomonadati; Pseudomonadota; Alphaproteobacteria; Hyphomicrobiales; Rhizobiaceae
Rfam family: terC RNA
Source: Rfam